Molecule: long non-coding RNA, 690 nt
Organism: Xenia sp. Carnegie-2017
Lineage: Eukaryota; Metazoa; Cnidaria; Anthozoa; Malacalcyonacea; Xeniidae
Exons: 4
Source: RefSeq, a predicted model, not a curated record
CAGGUAAAAAUCGCUGAGUUUGUUAAGCAACAGGUUAAUUCACGCUUGGUAUUGCCGCGUGGAAAUAAAACUCGUUUUUGAUAAGAAACACCUGAACGUCAUAACGUAAUCACUCAAAAAGAGAACUUUGAGAGAAAUGAAAUUGUUUGUAAGUGUUCUUCUUGUCGCCGUUUUGAUUUUGUCAGUAUCAACCAUUGAUAUGGUACCAAGCGAAAUCAAAUGCAGAAACAUCUCGAAAGAUUGUAAAAGAAAAGCAAGACAAGGAUGGUGUAGCAAGGAUCAAUCUUAUGUAGCCAUGGGGAGAAAAUGUCGUUUGUCUUGCCAAAUGUGCGACAAAAAGAGCAAAGUUUUUGACCAUGACGCUCGAUGCAAAAGGUGGAAAGAUCUUGGGUUCUGUGAAAUAGAUUUCCACUCUAUUUACAUGUACCGAAGCUGUAAAUACAGUUGUCCGAAACUCGUUAAGGCAUUCACUAUGGGCAGAGAGGAAAAGAGGGAAUGAUUUACGAUUUUCUUCAAGAAACCAAACUGAUCUUUGGCAUAGGAACAAUAAUAUUCUUGUGCUAAGUAAAGUUAUUAAUUAUGACAAGAGUUGACCAAAGUUGAAAUCAUUGAAAAUUGUAAAUAUAGAGGAGUAUUAGACUAUAAUUAGUUGAUUCGUUUAACUUUCAAAAACGCCCUUUUUCCCAAGGA